GAGGCUGCGCUCCGCCCGGCCCGGGCCAAGCCCAAGGACGCCCGUGCCCCCCCCCCCCCCUCACCGCAAGCCUCUCCACACACCGGGCCGCACCGAAACCGAGGCCGGGGCGACGGCUUCUCGGCAGCGCGGGGCCUAGUCGCACCCCACGGGCCUCCAUCCUCCCGGGAGACGCGAGAAAUAAGGGCUGAGGCCCCAGAGUUGCGGGGUGGGGGAGGCGGCCGCAGCGACAGGACGCCCCGUCCGCCCGGCCCCAGGGCUGCCGCCAGGGCCCCCACAGGCGGCGGCAAGCAGGCGAGCCGGGACCGCGCCGCACCACACUCACCUCGAACAGCGGCCACCACCGCUUCAGCAUGGCCAGGAGGGUCGUCCCGGAGCCGAAAGCCUCCUCCGGAGGGCACCGGCGCGGCCCCAGGAGCCACCGCGAAGCCUCCCACUCCUGACGGGGCUGUGGUCGCCGCAGUUGCUGCUGCUGCUGCUGAGGCCCAGUGCCCGCCCAGGCGCAUCGGCUCCCGGGCCGCCGCACCCACGCAGACCCCGGCGGAGCGCCGCAGGGCCAGGCCAGGGGCGCAAGGCUGCGGCGGGACGACCGAGGUGCUGCAGGCGGGGAUCCUCGGCGAAGCCUCCGGCGUCGCGGUGGACGCUCCAGCCUUCCGCGCCGCUGGGCCACAGCGCCCCCUGGACCCCACGUCUGGCUACGGCGCCGGGACUGCGGCGGCCACGCCGGGCACGAGCGGCAGGGAACGCGAGGGAGCGCGGCCUGGGGGUGGCGGGGGCCCCGCGCUCCCUGCGCCGCCUGCGGCUCGCGGCCCGCCUCUCACCCCUGACGACGCUUCCUGGGAGCCGGAAGCCCCUCGGUUCCCACAAACCCCUGGCGGUCCCACCCCCCGUCAGACCCCGAGCACCCUUUCCUUCUCUGCGGAAGAGGCAUGCUCCUUUCUGUGUGCUCCCCAGUUCAUAACUGCUCACCACUGCAGUUAUGAGAGAGCUUCUUCAUUCUCCUUUGUUUAUUCAUUUAUCAAGUUAUUGAUAUCAUGCUGAUGAAAUUCCAGAUUUAAGGAACUAAAGCUGCAUAUGCUCGAAGACUCCAGCAAAGGUACUGUUUCAAACAUAAUUACGUGUAUGGUAGAAUGGGAAGACAUGCAAUGGUGUUGCUGUUUGAUCUCCAGUAUUGUUUUGCCAAAUUUGUGGUCUGUACAUGAGUGCAUUCCAAAUAGACUGCCACACACCCAAAACAACAUAGAAGCAUAGCACAGAUGAUGAGAAAAUUAAAUAUAGAAUGUGCUUCAAUGUACAUCAAACCACAGAAUUUCAAGAAGAGCAGCACCAUACAGAAAAUCAAUGUGGGGAAUGUAUUCAAGUAGUGCCAUGCCUGAAAGAAAGCAGGCCUUCAAAAGUUAAUUAUUGGGGCUGGUGGGGCUGGUGCUGUGGCAUAGCAGGUAAAGCCAUUGCCUGCAGUGCCGGCAUCCCAUAUGGGCACCAGUUCAAGUCCUGGCUGCUCCACUUCUGAUCCGGCUCUCUGCUACGACCUGGGAAAGCAGUAGAAAAUGGUCCAAGUCCUUGGGCCCCUGCACCUGUGUAGGAGAUCCAGAGAAAGCUCCUGGCUCCUGGCUUCAGAUCAGCUCAGCUCAGGCCGUUGCAGCCAACUGGCGGAGUGAACCAACAGAUGGAAAACCUCUCUCUUCUCUCUCUGCCUCUCCUUCUCUGUGUAACUCUUUCAAAUAAAUAAAUAAAUCUUUAAAAAAAAGUUAAUAAUCAUGAAAGUUGACCACCUCAUGUGGACUACCUGUGCAGUUGCCCAUAAUCUGUUAAGGUAUGUUUCCAUAUUUCCAAUUUUCUUUUUAUUUUUUUCCGUUAAACUCAGCAUUUUUUGUAAUUCACUAGUAUUGUUUUUCAUAUUCAUAUCAUUUCCAAUACUGGAGGUAUAAAUUGUGCAGACUUUUAGAGAGCUCUACUUUGUUUUAGGCAUUUUUGCAAAUUUGUGAAAGUGGAUUAUCAAACAUUGAUUCCUGUGAGAACAUUGUGUAUGUAGAAACAUCCUCAGUAAAUGAAGAGAUGCCCUUUUUGUGCAUCUGCAUUUGUGCAGGAAAAAAUAUCUCCAGAUUUUAGGUCUUUGGGCAACUGCAUAUACAUGGUGUUUUUUUUUUUUUAAUUAUCUGAGAGGGAUAAAGAUAGCUAGAUAAGCACAAGCACUCCACCCUAUCUCUGGUUCACUCUUCAACUCCCAGGAUGGCCAGGGGCUGGACUGUAGCUGAAGCCAAGAGCCCCAUGUCUCCAUGAGCAAGAAGUUGUAGAAGCUGAAAAUGGAGUGGAGCCUAGACACAGAGACUCCAAUAUGGGAUGUAGGUAUCCCAAGCUGUAUCUUAACUGCUACACCAAAUGUCUGCCUCUCAUCACAGCAUUUGAUCUAUUGUGUCAAAACACUUACAGAUAAUCUGUCACCAUAUUUCUGAUUACAGCAGUUAAAAAGCUGGGUAUGCACAAUUACCAAGCAUUGUGAUAUGAAUUUAUAAAUUUUAUUUUCACAUUUUUUUUAUUAGUGUGGUUCAUCUGUUCCUGUUAUACAUAUGUGAGUGUCAUUAGGCUAUGCUUUUAAGAUGAUUGCCUAUCAAUUUAUGACAAACCCACAGCCAGCAUCUUAUUGAGUGGGGAAAAGUUGGAAGCACUUCUGCUAAGACUCAGAAACAGACAAGGAUGCCCACUUUCACUAUUGCUAUUCAAUAUAGUCCUGGAAGUUUUAGCCAGAGCAAUUAAGCAAGAAAAAGACACUAAAGGGAUAUAAAUUAGAAAGGAGAAAGUCAAAUUAUCCCUGUUUACAAAUGACAUGAGUCUAUAGAUAGGGGAACAAAAAGACUCUACUAAGAGACUACUGGAACUCACAAAAGAGUUUGGUAAAGUGGCAGGAUAUAAAACUAACACACAAAAUUAAUAGCUUUUGUAUACACAAACAAUGCCAUGGCUGAGAAAGAACUUCUAAGACCAAUUACAUUCACAAUAGCUACAGAAAAAAGUAAAUACCUUGGAAUACAUUUAACUAAGAAGGUGAAAGAUCUCUACAAUGAAAAUUAUAAAACAUUAAAAAAAAAGAAGACAAAAAAAUGGAGAAAUAUUCUACAUUUGUGGAUUGGAAGAACUAAUAUCAUCAAAAUGUCUAUACUACCAAAAGCAAUUUACAGAUUCAAUGUGAUCCCAAUCAAAAUACAAACAACGGCCGGCGCCGCGGCUCACUAGGCUAAUCCUCCGCCUAGCGGUGCCGGCACACCGGGUUCUAGUCCCGGUCUGGGUGCCGGAUUCUGUCCCAGUUGCCCCUCUUCCAGGCCAGCCCUCUGCUGUGGCCAGGGAGUGCAGUGGAGGAUGGCCCAGGUGCUUGGGCCCUGCACCCCAUGGGAGACCAGGAAAAGCACCUGGCUCCUGGCUCCUGCCAUCGGAUCAGCGCGGUGCGCCGCCCGCAGCGCGCCGGCCGCGGCGGCCAUUGGAGGGUGAACCAACGGCAAAGGAAGACCUUUCUCUCUGUCUGUCUCUCUCACUGUCCACUCUGCCUGUCAAAAAAAAAAAAAAAAUACAAACAACAUUCUUCUCAGAUCUAGAAAAAACAAUGCUAAAAUUCAUAUGGAAACACAAGAGACCCCAAAUAGGUAAAGCAAUCUUAUAUGACAAAAACAAAGCCAGAGGGUCUGGCACUGUGGCAUAGUAGGUUAAGCCUCUGCCUGUAGUGUGAGCAUUCCAUAUGCGCACUGGUUCAAGUCCAGGCUGCUCUACUUCUGAUCCAACUCCUGCUAAUGACCUGGGAAAGCAGUGGAAGGUGGCCCAGGUGCUUGGGCCCCUGCAUCCAUGUGGGAAACCCAGAAGAAGCUCCUGGCUUUCGGCUUCAGAUCAGCCCAGGUCUGGCCAUUGCAGUCAUUCGAGGAAUGAACCAGCGGAUGGAAGAUCUGUCUCUCCUCUCUGUAACUUUGCCUCUCAAAUAAAUAAAUAUAUUUUUUUAAAAGUUGGAGACAUCACAAUACCAGAUUUCAAGACAUACUACAGGGCAGUUAUAAUCAAAAUAGCCUCAGACUUGCACAAAAAUAGACAUGUAGACCAACAGGAUAGAAUAGAAACUCUGGAAAUCAAUCCAUGCAUCUACAAAUAACUAAUCUUUGCCAAAAAGAAAAAAAAAGUUAAAAUCAACCCCUGGAUAAAGGACAGUCUCUUCAACAAAUGGUGCUGGGAAAAUUGGAUCUCCACAUGCAGAACCAUGAAAAAGACUCCUACCUUAUACAAAAAUAAACUCAAAAUGGAUCAAGGAUCUAAAUCUAGGACCUGAUACCAUCAAAUUACUAGAAGAAAACACUGGGGUGGGGGAAACUCUGCAAGAUGUUGGCAUAGGCAGACAUUUUGGGAAAGACCCCAGAAGCUCAGGCAAAGCCCAAAUUGAUAAAUGGGAUUACAUCAAGCUGAGAAGCUUCUGCACUGCAAAAGAAACACUCAGCAAAGAGGCAAUUGACAGAAUGGGAGAAAAUAUUUGCAAGCUAUGAAACUAAUAAAGGAUUAAUAUCCAGAAGCUAUAAAGAGCUCAAGAAACUCAGCAACAACAAAACAGUCCUGUUAAGAAAUGGCCAAAGGACUUGAACAGGUAUUUUUCAAAAGAGGAAAUUCAAAUGGCCAACAGACAUGAAAAAAUGCUCAAGAUCACCAGCCAUCAGGGAAAUGCAAAUGAAAACCACAAUGAGAUUUCACCUCACCCCAGUCAGAAUAGCUGUCAUACAGAAAUCAACAAGCAGUUAAGUGCUGACAAGGAUGUGGGGGAAAAGGUACCUUAAUCCCCUGUUGACAGGACUGUAAACUAGUACAGCCACUGUGGAAGACAGAAUGGAGAUACCUCAGCAAGCUGAAAAUAGAUACACUAUAUGACCCAGCCAUCCCACUUCUGGGAAUUUACCCAAAGAAAAUAAAAUCAGCAUUGAGUUAUCUGUACCCCAAUGUUUACUGCAGCACAAUUCACAAUAGCUAAAACAUGUAAUCAACUCACAUGUCCACCAACUGAUGAUUGGAUGAAGAAAUUAUGGUAUAAAUAAACUAUGGAAUACUUCUCAGCCAAAAAAUAGAAUGGAAUCCUGUCUAUUGCAACCAAAUGGAUGCAACUGGGAUUCACUAUAUUUAGUGAAAUAAGUCAGUCCCAAAAAGACAAAUAGAUGGGUGGUAACUAACAAAGUACCAAAAAUGUAACAAAUAGGAGUCAAACUGACAUUUUGAGACUGAAUGAUUGUUUACAGCUCUUGUCUCUACUGUUGAGGAACUGUGCUUUUUUUUUUUUCUAUUUCUUGAACUCUACUUGGUAUAGGGUUAAUCUGAGUAUAAAGUAAACUGAAAAUAGCUUAUUGUAAAAACUGAGAGACUAGGAGAGGAAAGAGGAGGAAGGGUGGGAGCAUGGAUAGGAGAGUGGGAAGUUUAUGCUCCUAAAUUUGUAUACAUGAAAUUUGUAUACUUAAAAACACACACUUAAAAAAUUAUCUGAGAGUUCCACUCCUACUAGUUAUUUAGUGGAGAUAAAAUGUCUUCACACACACAAAUUAUUGCCUGUAUAUAAAGUGGCCUAUUAAGUAUCUUGGGCUUUUGUUUCUCAAAUAAAUCCUGCAUUAAAAAAAUGUUUUUAAGUAAUUUUUAGUUUUCCAGAUUUGUAUUUUUGGAAUUUUGAUCUUUAGGGAUUUUAGAUUUUAGAGAUUUUUAUCUUGAGGGAUCCCAGCAUUCAGAAUUAUGGCCCAAACCCUUGUAAACACACACUACAUUGGUUCUUUUGUCUGUUUUGAGUAAUGCUGCUACGAACAUUGGUGUUGUUUUAUAACCAGAGCUGGAACUGCAGGAUCAUGUGACAGUUUUAAAUUUUGUGAGGAGCCACUAUACUGUCUUCCACAGUAGUUGAAUCAUUUUACAUUGCACAAGGGUUCCAAUUCCUCUACAUCCUCACCAGUACUUAUUUUUUGCUCUCUCCAUCCUAUUAGAUUUGAAGUGCUGGCUGACUGUGGCUUUGACUUAGACUUCCCUAAUGAUUAGUGAUAUUAAGCAUCUUUCCAUGUGCUUACUGUGUAUUUUCAUCUUUGUAGAAAUGUCAAGUCCAUUUUUACACUGGGCCUUUUUAUUUGUUCUUUUUAUUCUGAAUAUUAAUCUCUUACCAAACAUUUGAUUUACUUUUUCUCCUACUCUGUGGGUUGCUUUUUCUCUUGAGAGUGUCCUCUAAUGUCCAAAUUUUAAAUUUGGAUGUAAUCUUGUUUUUGUUAUUGUUGCCUAUGCUUUUGGAAUCACCUAAGCAAUCAUUGCCAAAUUCAAUGUCACAAAGAUUCCUCCACUUGUAAGCUCUUAUGUUUAGAUUUUUGACUCAUUCUAAUUUUUGUAUACAAGGAAUCAGGUCUGUGGAAAUGGAGUUUAAAAUAUUUUGGUACAAAAAAAUGAAAUUUACAGUUUUUUCAUAAUACCCAUUUUCUGUGAACUUUUACAGGACCCUGCAUAUGGUGUAAGUGUCCAACUUCAUUAUUUUGCAUGUGGAUGUCCUUUCUCCACUGUAUAGCCUUGGCACUCUCCUUGAAAAUCAUUUGAUAAUACCUGUGAGGGUUUACCUCUGGGCUAUUCUAUUCGUCUAUAUAUAUCAAUAUGUCAGGACCACAACUAUUUGAUUGUCAUUGUUAGUUCUGAAAUUAAGAAAUGUGACCUUUCCAACUUUGUUCUUUUUAAACUUUUUUUUUUCUUAAAGAUUUAUUCAUUUGAAAGGCUGAGUUUCAGAGACAGAUCUUCCAUUCGCUAGUUCACUUCCCAAAUGACCACAAUGGCCGGGGUGGGCCAGAACAAAGCCAGGAUUCUGGAGCUUGUUUCCAUCUCCCAUAUGGGUGCAAGGGCCCAAGCAUUUGGGCUAUCUUCCGUUGCUUUCCCCAGGCAUAUGAGCAGGGAGCUAGAUGGGAAGUGGAGUAACCGAGACUCAAAGCAGUGCUCAUAUGGGAUUUGGGUGUCACAAAUGAAAGCUUUACCCCUAUGACACAAUGCUGGUCCCGCUUUUUAAACUAUUUUGGUUAUUCUGGGCCCCUUGAGAACUUGUAUGAAUUUUUGAAGGGUUUUCCUAUUUCUUCAAGAAACAUCACUGGAACUUUUACAGGGAUUGCAUUCAAUCUGUAAAUCACCUUUGAUAGUAUUGAUUUAACAGUAUUGUCUUCCAAUGAAGCAUGGCUUUCCAAUUAUGUGCUUAAUUUCUAUCAUUUUGUAGUUUUCAGCAUGUCUUCUGCAUCCUUAGUUAAGUUUCUGUUUAUUAUUUUUUUCAUGUUGUGUCUUACAGAAUUUUUUACUUAAUUUCCUUUUUGUAUUACUGUUACUCUACAGAAAUGCAACUGAUUUUGAGAGAACCUUCUAUCUUGAGACAGAGGGAAAGAGAAACACAGAUUUUUUUUACAUUUGCUAGAUCACUUCCCAAACCCUCACAACAGCUGGGGCUGGGCCAGGUCAGAGGUAGGAUCUUGGAACUCCAUCUGGGUAAAGGGACCCAAACACUUGAGCCAUCACCAGCUGCCUCCCAGUGAGGGCAUUAGCAGAACUGGGAGUGGAGCCAGGACUCAAACCCAGGCACUCUAAUAUGGGACACAGUCAUCCCAAGCAGUAUCUUAACCAGUGCACCAAACACAGAGCCCAGUGCAAUAUUUUUGCAAACUGAUUUUAUAACUGACUUGGCUGAACUCAUUUAUUAGUUAUGCCAACAGGCUUGCCUUUUUUUUUUUUUUAAAUAGAACUGUUUGAUUUUUUUAACACAAAAAACAUGGCUGCAUGAUAAAUUCAUUACCUCCUUGUUCAAGUUUAUAGAAUACUUUUGAGGAGUUAUGCCUAAAAGGAGGCAAAAUUUUAAUACCACUGUUAACAUCAACAUAUGUAAUCCAAGAAUGCCUGCCCAAAUACUGCUGUCCGAGGUAUGCAAACUUUCUAAAUUUAUAAAGCCACCUUAAAAAUUGAGACAGAGACAGCAAGCACAUUCCCAUCUUCUGGUCCCAUUCCCCAAAUAUUGACAAUGGCUAGGGCAGGGCCAAGCAAGAGCUUGGAAUUCAGUCCAGGUCUCCAGUGUGGGUGGUAGGAACAGAACUACUUAAGCUAUCAUUGCUCCUUUCAUGGUCCACAUUAGAGAAACCUGGGAUCAGGAGAUGGAGCUGAGAAUCAAACUCAGAGUGUAACAUGAGACAUGUGUGUCCUAACUAGUUUAUAACCACUAGGCAAAAUGCCUGUACCCUCUCCCUCCAACUUCUGAAUAUAUUCAAAUUGCAAACCCUACUUCUUAAAAAAAAAAAAAAAAAUCCCUACUUACAUUCCAAACAAUCCUUAAAACAAGUCCAUCAGGUUUGUAUUGAGUGUAUUCAUAGGGAUAUCUAAUCAAAGAGGGUAUGUGCACCUAAUUUUCAACUCAAUAAAUAUUUGUUGAGUGGUAUGGAGUGAUUUUUAAUUGACCUCUGAAAUUUGGUAAUUCUAGAUUAGAAUCAUGAUUUUCCCACUAAUUAGUUAUUUGGCUUUUGGCAACUUCCCUAAACCAUUUUUGUUCUUUAAAACUGGGAUUAUAAUGGCCUCACUAGGUUGUUUUGAAAAUUAAAUUAACUGUAUGCAGCAGUAAAUAGUAAGUGUUAUUAUGGUCUUGAAUACACUACAUGUUGGGCACUCUGCUAGAAGGUAGAGAUAAAAGAUAUCUGAUAGAAUAUUGCCAUCAAAGCACUUAUAGUGUAGAUGGGAAACUAUAAAGAAAAUCAGAGAAUCUUAGUACUGCACGCAACAGAAUGUUAUGUUGGAAAUAAUAAGACUAUGAUGUGCUCACAUUUGAAACUUAGGUAGUCUGGCUUCUGUGUAGAGGAUUAGAAGGAAUGAAUCCUAAGACUAAUAAGGAAGCUAAAAGGCUCAACGUGGCCUUGUUGUGUCUGGUGCCAUGAGAUCCAGAAAGUAACUUUCAGUCAUGGCUUGGAAGAUAAAUACACUUCAACCAUCUUUCAUUUUCACCUCAAUCAUUUAGGGGAUUGUAAGGAACUCUGACUCUGUGGCAUCAUUUUACAAAGGAAACAGGCUCAAAGAGCAAGGUCAUCACUGCACUUUUAACACAGGCACUACUCACUUUGUGGUAUAGAAGAUGGUAUUCUCUGGAACACAGCAAAUAUGAAUGAUUGCUCCUGGAGCUGUGGAUUAUAGCAGCCCUAUUGGAGAGGUUAUAUAAACAGUAUGAUAGGUAGUGGAAAAGAUCUCCAACUAAAAACCUGUGCUUUUUCCCACUAUACCAUACUGUCUCUUAUAAUCAUACUUUAUGAGUAUGUAGAUACUUAGGAUUAAACACUGAAUUUGAACAAGAAACAAACCAAACACAUCCCAGAAAUGGGUUUUCCACAAGAACUUGGUAGGCUUAUUAAAAUGAAUUUAAUAGAAUCCUAUAAGCACUAGUUAUUUAACAACAAAUUAAGGUGCUUGAUAUAUUUUUAAACUGCUACUAAAAUAGCAUAAAACAAAUAUAAGCGGCUGGCGCUGCAGCUCACUAGGCUAAUCCUCCACCUUGCGGCGCUGGCACACCAGGUUCUAGUCCCGGUUGCCCCUCUUCCAGUCCAGCUCUCUGCUGUGGCCAGGGAGUGCAGUGGAGGAUGGCACA
Molecule: non-coding RNA, 9619 nt
Organism: Oryctolagus cuniculus (rabbit)
Lineage: Eukaryota; Metazoa; Chordata; Mammalia; Lagomorpha; Leporidae
Source: RefSeq, a predicted model, not a curated record